CCUGGAGCACAUUUUCUCCUUUCUGCCCCCUUGUAACAAAGAGAAAUGUUUUUAUACCAGUUUCACAUCUGUUGUCCCCCACCUUUCUCUUGUGUGUAGGGAGAUGCAUUUCAUCUUCAGCUGUUCCAGCCUGAGAUUUGUCAUUAUAAUUAAUCAGAGGAGGUGAGGAUCUCAGUGAGAUUACAAAGCAUCCUGGAACCAGAUCAAGGACUACUGGGGAUUGGAGUCCGGGGUUCAAGUCUCCAUUUUUACACCCCUCAUUUUCCAAUUUUUUGCCACCACAAAGAGAUUUAUGAUUGUUGUUUCAAUAAGAAAGUCAGAAGAAUUGAUUGGCAGGGCAAGAAGAAGGCAACUAAACUGCUGCCCAAAGCACUAAGUAAGGCAUCAGCAUUAGCUCGACUAUGAAGGUCUAAAAGCAGAGGAAAGGACAGACCUCUGGAAUGGUGGCCUUCUAAAAUGAAUUUUAUGUUACAAAACCUUGUUGACUGUAAG
RNAcentral lists this long non-coding RNA (492 nucleotides) under Monodelphis domestica (gray short-tailed opossum). RNAcentral's name for it is "lncRNA (ENSMODG00000036573.1)". The record is from RNAcentral. Lineage: Eukaryota; Metazoa; Chordata; Mammalia; Didelphimorphia; Didelphidae.